CAUAGAUUAAGCCAUGCAAGUGUUAGUUCAGGUAACGAAACUGCGAAUAGCUCAUUAAUACGCUCAGAAUCUAUUCGCGGCGACCAACAGGUCUUAAAUGGAUAGCAGCAGCAACUCUGGUGCUAAUACAUGCGAUUGUUUCUCCAGAUGUGAAUUAUGGAGGAAAAGUUGAUCUCAUCAGAGGCACGCCAUUCGACUGAGUGACCUAUCAGCUUGUACUUAGGGUCUUUACCUAGGUAGGCUAUCACGGGUAACGGGCGGUUACCUUCGGACUGCCGGAGAAGGCGCCUGAGAGAUAGCGACUAUAUCCACGGGUAGCAGCAGGCGCGAAACUUUCCCACUCGAGACUUUCGGAGGAGGUAAUGACCAGUUCCAUUGGUGCCUUUUGGUACUGUGGAUAGGGGUACGGUUUUCCACCGUACCGAAACCUAGCAGAGGGCCAGUCUGGUGCCAGCAGCUGCGGUAAUUCCAGCUCUGCGAGUUUGCUCCCAUAUUGUUGCAGUUAAAACGCCCGUAGUCUGAAUUGGCCAGCAAUGGUCGUACGUAUUUUUACGUUCACUGUGAACAAAUCAGGACGCUUAGAGUAUGGCCACAUGAAUGACUCAGCGCAGUAUGAAGUCUUUGUUUUCUUCCGAAAACAAGCUCAAUGAGAGCCAUCGGGGGUAGAUCUAUCUCAUGACGAGUGGUGGAAUACUUUGACUCAUGAGAGAGAAGCUGAGGCGAAGGCGUCUACCUAGAGGGUUUCUGUCGAUCAAGGGCGAGAGUAGGAGUAUCCAACAGGAUUAGAGACCCUGGUAGUUCCUACCUUAAACGAUGCCGACAGGAGUUUGUCAUUUGUUAAUGGCAGAAUCUUUGGAGAAAUCAUAGUUCUUGGGCUCUGGGGGAACUACGACCGCAAGGCUGAAACUUGAAGGAAUUGACGGAAGGGCACACCAGGGGUGGAGCCUGUGGCUUAAUUUGAAUCAACACGGGGAAACUUACCAGGACCAGAUGUUUUUUAUGACUGACAGGCUUCGGGUCUUUCAGGAUAUUGUUUUUGGUGGUGCAUGGCCGUUGGUGGUGCGUGGGUUGACCUGUCUAGCGUUGAUUCAGCUAACGAGCGAGAUUAUCGCCAAUUAUUUACU
This 1124-nucleotide non-coding RNA is filed under the name Trichomonas vaginalis G3. RNAcentral describes it as "Eukaryotic small subunit ribosomal RNA". It matches the Rfam family "Eukaryotic small subunit ribosomal RNA", at positions 38 to 1359 of the family's 1831-position model. Lineage: Eukaryota; Parabasalia; Trichomonadida; Trichomonadidae. The record is from Rfam by way of RNAcentral.